CCCAACCCAAUGUGACGUUACCAAACUGUUGCCUCGGCGGGAUCUCUGCCCCGGGUGCGUCGCAGCCCCGGACCAAGGCGCCCGCCGGAGGACCAACCAAAACUCUUUUUGUAUACCCCCUCGCGGGUUUUUUAUAAUCUGAGCCUUCUCGGCGCCUCUCGUAGGCGUUUCGAAAAUGAAUCAAAACUUUCAACAACGGAUCUCUUGGUUCUGGCAUCGAUGAAGAACGCAGCGAAAUGCGAUAAGUAAUGUGAAUUGCAGAAUUCAGUGAAUCAUCGAAUCUUUGAACGCACAUUGCGCCCGCCAGUAUUCUGGCGGGCAUGCCUGUCCGAGCGUCAUUUCAACCCUCGAACCCCUCCGGGGGGUCGGCGUUGGGGAUCGGCCCUGCCUCUUGGCGGUGGCCGUCUCCGAAAUACAGUGGCGGUCUCGCCGCAGCCUCUCCUGCGCAGUAGUUUGCACACUCGCAUCGGGAGCGCGGCGCGUCCACAGCCGUUAAACACCCAACUUCUGAAAUGUUGACCUCGGAUCAGGUAGGAAUACCCGCUGAACUUAAGCAUAUCA
Molecule: ribosomal RNA, 561 nt
Filed under: Trichoderma harzianum
Lineage: Eukaryota; Fungi; Ascomycota; Sordariomycetes; Hypocreales; Hypocreaceae
Description: eukaryotic LSU rRNA
Rfam family: 5.8S ribosomal RNA (bases 185-338)
Source: RNAcentral